Molecule: transfer RNA, 93 nt
Filed under: Candidatus Caldarchaeum sp.
Lineage: Archaea; Thermoproteati; Nitrososphaerota; Candidatus Caldarchaeales; Candidatus Caldarchaeaceae
Description: tRNA-Ile
Rfam family: tRNA
About the family: Transfer RNA (tRNA) molecules are approximately 80 nucleotides in length. Their secondary structure includes four short double-helical elements and three loops (D, anti-codon, and T loops).
Source: RNAcentral
GGGCCGGUAGCUCAGCUUGGUCAGAGAGGAAUUCCACCCUGCAACGUUCGGCUGAUAACCGAAAGGUCGGGAGUUCGAAUCUCCCCCGGCCCA